This 582-nucleotide small RNA is filed under the name Pan troglodytes (chimpanzee). RNAcentral's name for it is "retained intron". Lineage: Eukaryota; Metazoa; Chordata; Mammalia; Primates; Hominidae. The record is from RNAcentral.
CAUAGCUCACUGCAGCUUUGAGCCGUCUUCCCACUCAGUCUACUAAGCUUGGACUAUAGGCCAAGACUAUAGAGUGGUCCUUCUUUCCAUUCUUUUGGGACCAUGAGAGGCCACCCAUGUUUCCUGCCCCUGCUGGGCCCCCUGCUGCUCAGAAGGCAUGGUCUGAGGCUUCCACCUUGGGUCGUGAGCCUGGCGUGGUGGUUUCUGGCCAGCAUGGGGGUUGGGAUGCUGUGGCUCAGGCCUUCUGCAUGGUUUCCCACACUCUCUUCUCCUCCUCAGGACUGGAUCAUCGCGCCCGAAGGCUACGCCGCCUACUACUGUGAGGGGGAGUGUGCCUUCCCUCUGAACUCCUACAUGAACGCCACCAACCACGCCAUCGUGCAGACGCUGGUCCACUUCAUCAACCCGGAAACGGUGCCCAAGCCCUGCUGUGCGCCCACGCAGCUCAAUGCCAUCUCCGUCCUCUACUUCGAUGACAGCUCCAACGUCAUCCUGAAGAAAUACAGAAACAUGGUGGUCCGGGCCUGUGGCUGCCACUAGCUCCUCCGAGAAUUCACACCCUUUGGGGCCAAGUUUUUCUGG